UGCUUCUUUUCCGGUGUUUGCUUCUUCGGGUUGGUUCCGAUAACGUCGCGUUUGUGAGGAUCCGUUCAACUACGUUCGUUUGUCUUCUUCAUGGACUCGUUCUUCUUCCUUGCGGGAUUUCAGGCAAGAUGAUCAUACCCUCGAAAUCACUACUAUCUUUGCUAUGCUAGUUUGCUCGCUCUUUUGCCAUGCCAAUGCUACGAUGCCUACCAUUUGCUUGUCAGCCUCCCAAAUUGCCAUGU
RNAcentral lists this ribosomal RNA (242 nucleotides) under Triticum aestivum (bread wheat). RNAcentral describes it as "partial small subunit ribosomal RNA". Lineage: Eukaryota; Viridiplantae; Streptophyta; Magnoliopsida; Poales; Poaceae. The record is from RNAcentral.